This 2044-nucleotide long non-coding RNA is filed under the name Capra hircus (goat). RNAcentral's name for it is "lncRNA (ENSCHIG00000005562.1)". Lineage: Eukaryota; Metazoa; Chordata; Mammalia; Artiodactyla; Bovidae. The record is from RNAcentral.
GACUCUGAUCCCUCCGUCAGGGGGAAAGACGAAUUCUCCCUUUCCAGCGCCUCCUGACGUCCUCCCUGCUGGCAGUCCUGGCCCUGGCUGUGGCCUCACCUCGAAGGGGACAGGAUGUGUUUCCAGCUGGGCCCCUUCUCCUCCACGUCUUGGCCGGACAGUCCUCUUCCCCACCGCAACCCUGUGGAGAGGAAUACUGCCUUUUAUCAUUUUGCCAGGUGAACAUUCCUUUUGAAAUAUAAUAAUUACCUCCCAAUGUAUCUCCUUGGAAAAUGCAUAUGCAUAUAUGCACAUAUACAUACUUUUGUCUUCAUAUAAACAGUGUAUAAAGAAUUUUAAACUGAGCGAAGACCCAACAUACUAAUAGUACCAGGGCCCCUAAGACACACACCUUGUGCCUGGCAGGGUGAAUAGUCCUCCAGUUUGCUGGGGAUGGUCUUGAUUUUAAAAUGGAAAAUUCUGCGUCCCCAGAGGCCCCUGUUGUUGCUACUCAGUUGCUCAGUCGUGUCCGGCUCUUUGCGACCCCAUGGACUGUAGCCCGCCAGGCUCCUCUGUCCAUGGGAUUCUCCAGGCAAGAAUACUGGAGUGGGUUGCCAUUUCCUUCUCCAGGGGAUCUUCCUGACCCAGGGAUGGAACUCGUGGAUUCUUUUCUGCUAAGCCACUUGGGAAGCCCCCUCACAGAUCCCCCAAGACUGGGGCAAAUUGGGAAGGCUGGUUGUGACAGAGCCAGGCAUUCAGAGUCCGUUAUCGCAAAUCCUCAUGAAGACACCUUCAGUUAGAUGUUGUUUUUGCAGAGAAGGAAAGUGAGCUGGAGAUGCUGAUGGAGUUGCCAAGUUCACGCCCCAAGUCUCUGGCUGAGGUCAAUGCUGUGCCAUGUGUUUUAUGCAGGAGCGCCGUGGAUGGUGCGGAUACAAACGCCCUGUGGCUCUGCCAGACGAGGCUCCCCUUCUGUCAGGACCACGAUCCUCCGCGGGGACCUGGAGGUGGCCCAGGCAUGUAUCUCCGUCUCCCUCGUUACCGCGGGCCCCGUCCAGGACACUCCCGCCCCCGUCGUCGCUCCAAUGCCUCCGCUGCUCACCUGUGCUUCCGGUUUCAGGUUCAAGAACAGCGGGCGGCGGGUUUUCCAUGGUACUCCUAAUCGCCGGCGUUGAGCUGAUAGGGACCCAGGAUGGAACACAGCAGCCCAGGAAAUUCUCCCGAGCCCGAUUCCUGCCAGCUUCCCUAUUCUCUGGAAUGACUGCUCAUCCUGUGCUGGGGACUGUCUCCUUUGUCUUCUCCAGGCCGUGUUCCUUGCUCAAGAUGGACUGCUGGCUGGAAAAUGAGCAGAAGAUCUGAUGGCAGGGCUUGGGAAUAGGAACCCAAGUUCUGCCCAAAGCCUAAGGCAUCUAUCUGCACACACCCAGCUUCUCUGGGAAGCCAGCUACGUAUCAGCACAACGCUGAGGUGCCUGGGGCCACUGUGGACUCUCAGAUGCUGUCCUACAACUGGUCUCUCCAUCCUAAUCCCAGGGAAGACAGUUUAGGAGGUGACGCAAUACUGCUGUAGCAGCCCCUAGACAACUUGCCUUCUUCCAAAACCCUCCUGGGCCAAGCUUUCCCGUUCGCACGCUGAAAUAUUAGAUGUUCAGCUGGGAGUCCAACAGCAAAAUAUUUCUGAAAUUGUGCGUGCGUGUGUGUGUUUCUUUCUUUCUUUUUUUUUCUUCUAAUUUAAUGUGCCAGACAAGCCUCCCGGUAAUUAAAACCAGAAACAAGGACCAGACUUAGACAGAGAUUUGAAGGCUGUAAAAUUCUAGGACAGGUUUAUGUAAAGCAAUUAAAAAGGGAGUUAAAAAUUGUUAAAAAAUUAAACACUAAUUACUUUUUUUUCUCCUCUCAUUUCUGCUGAGCUGUUUUGGCCGCGGAGCUCGAAGAAAGAUAUAAAAAGGAGAAAGUUUUGCCUCGUUGCUGUAAAUCAUGUUCAGCAAAUGCGCCUCUGCAGUUUGCAGCCGAACCCAUCUGCUGUCAAUUAACCUAAAUCAUGCCUUUUCAAUUAAACUGGCCUAGGG